RNAcentral lists this long non-coding RNA (5571 nucleotides) under Pan troglodytes (chimpanzee). RNAcentral describes it as "long non-coding RNA NONPTRT010288". Lineage: Eukaryota; Metazoa; Chordata; Mammalia; Primates; Hominidae. The record is from RNAcentral.
CAGGGCCUUCCAUCUUCUGCAUGUGGGUUCUGGAUCACGGUCAGCACCGGCAUCCCUGUGGUGCCCAGUCAUUGGGAGAGCACGGACGGGGCCUUCCAUCUUCUGCCUGUGGGUUCUGGAUCACGGUCAGCACCAGCAUCCCUGUGGUGCCCAGUCAUUGGGAGAGCACGGACGGGGCCUUCCAUCUUCUGCCUGUGGGUUCUGGAUCACGGUCAGCACCGGCAUCCCUGUGGUGCCCAGUCAUUGGGAGAGCAUGGACGGGUCCUUCCAUCUACUGCCUGUGGGUGCUGGAUCACGGUCAGCACCGGCAUCCCUGUGGUACCCAGUCACUCGGAGGGCAUGGAAGGGGCCUUCCAUCUUCUGCAUGUGGGUUCUGUAUCACGGUCAGCACCGGCAUCCCUGUGGUGCCCAGUCAUUGGGACGGCGUGGAAGGGGCCUUCCAUCUUCUGCAUGUGGGUUCCUGGAUCACGGUCAGCACCGGCAUCCCUGUGGUGCCCAGUCACUGGGAGAGCAUGGAAGGGGCCUUCCAUCUUCUGCAUGUGGGCUCCUGAAUCACGGUCAGCACCGGCAUCCCUGUGGUGCCCAGUCAUUGGGAGAGCGUGGAAGGGGCCUUCCAUCUUGUGCCUGUGGGUUCUGGACCAUGGUCAGCACCAGCAUCCCUGCAGGUACAACACUGUGCAGGGGCAUUCAGAAGCCAGGUCUGGGAGUUGCAUGGAUUAUUUCUACUCAUAUACCAUCGACUGGGACUCAUCUCAUGGCCAUACCAGACUUUGAAGAGUGGGUGGAGGUUAGAUGGAGAUUAUCUCUGUGAUCAGGAGAAGAAGGAAGGUGAUUUGAGGAACAGCCAGUUAGUCUCCGUCACACUUUUACUCAAAAUAAUUUCCACAUAAAAGAUUUUUCAGUGCGGAAACACACAUACUGUGUUUUGAAUACAUGUGUGUGUAAGUCUGCCAUGAACAGCUUUAUUUUCCCUCUGAAGGAUCACACACAUGCAUCUGGUUUGCCAUUCCACACGGAGGCUGGAAGUUUGUUAACUUGCAGAAUGAGAGCAAUAACCAGCUCUUCAGUGCCUUUUGUAACAUUUCCAGUGUUUCUUGUGGAAUCUAAGUGUUGACAUUUAUGGGAUUUGAUUACUAAUGUUGUCUCCAAAAUAAACAUCAAAUGAUGAUAGUGAUGACAAGGAAAAGAAUGACAAUGAUCAUUGAAUUAGCCAACAUUCUCUGCAAGCUUCCCAUGUUCUAGGCACUUUACGCACAUUUCCUCUCAAUGCUAACUUAUGACAUAGAUAUUGAUAUUACCCCCGUGUUAUGAAUUUAGCAUACUGAGUUUUAGACUGUCCAAAUAACUUGUCCAGUGUCAUUCAGUGGUGAAACCAUAACCAAUACAUGAAUACUAAGGUCCUUCCCCCUCACAUACAUGAAUCCUAAGGCCCUUCCCCCUCACAUACAUGAAUACUAAGGUCCUUCCACCUCACAUACAUGAAUACUAAGGUCCUUCCCCUUCACAUACAUGAAUACUAAGGUCCUUCCCCUUCACAUACAUGAAUACUAAGGUCCUUCCCCUUCACAUACAUGAAUACUAAGGUCCUUCGCCCUCACAUACAUGAAUACUAAGGUCCUUCCCCCUCACAUACAUGAAUAUUAAGGUCCUUCCACAUGACAUACAUGAAUCCUAAGGCCCUUCCCCCUCACAUACAUGAAUACUAAGGUCCUUCCCCCUCACAUACAUGAAUACUAAGGUCCUUCCACCUCACAUACAUGAAUACUAAGGUCCUUCCCCUUCACAUACAUGAAUACUAAGGUCCUUCCCCCUCACAUACAUGAAUACUAAGGUCCUUCUACAUCACAUACAUGAAUCCUAAGGUCCUUCCCCCUCACAUACAUGAAUACUAAGGUCCUUCCACCUCACAUACAUGAAUACUAAGGUCCUUCCACCUCACAUACAUGAAUACUACGGUCCUUCCCUUCACAUACAUGAAUACUAAGGUCCUUCCCCCUCACAUACAUGAAUAGUAAGGUCCUUCCACCUCACAUACAUGAAUCCUAAGGCCCUUCCCCCUCACAUACAUGAAUACUAAGGUCCUUCCCCCUCACAUACAUGAAUACUAAGGUCCUUCCACCUCACAUACAUGAAUACUAAGGUCCUUCCCCUUCACAUACAUGAAUACUAAGGUCCUUCCCCCUCACAUACAUGAAUACUAAGGUCCUUCUACAUCACAUACAUGAAUCCUAAGGUCCUUCCCCCUCACAUACAUGAAUACUAAGGUCCUUCCACCUCACAUACAUGAAUACUAAGGUCCUUCCACCUCACAUACAUGAAUACUACGGUCCUUCCCUUCACAUACAUGAAUACUAAGGUCCUUCCCCCUCACAUACAUGAAUAGUAAGGUCCUUCCACCUCACAUACAUGAAUACUAAGGUCCUUCCCCUUCACACAGAUGAAUAGUAAGGUUCUUCCACUUCACAGUGUGCAUUACUGAUCAGAUACGCCACUUCACGAGGCUCCAGGAGUUGAUUCCCUCCUUUCUAGGCAAAUAUGUUGGGCCACCUUCAAGGAUUUAUGCACAAAUAAUAAUUCCUGAUUACUCAUCCUGUAACCUGUAAUGUGGGAUUCUGGUAAAAGUGAAUGGGAGACGGCAGCUUACGUCUGAAGCAUCAAAUGGCCUCUGCCUCCAGUCCUAGACUUUCUGGGGUCCCCUUCCCAGUCCUCUGUCUGAGGAGAUCAAGGGGCACUUUUUGUUUUUACCAGUUAGUGUUUCUAGGUUUUAGGUUUCUCUCUACAGAGAAAAAACAAACUAAACUAUAAAAACAAGAAGAAAAGGCAGAUGUGUUGUCCCCUGGAUCCGAGGCCUCUGUCCCGUCUGCUGUCACCCCUGCCCCUUCCACAGCGGCCUUCGGUGUGUUUCCUGUGUCAUGUCCAGGGGUGUCUGUGGAACUGAGGUGGAGAAAUAGGAAUCAUGUGUCUCCUCUAUCUUGUCCAGAGCUGAAAGUUCUCUAUGUUGUUUUAUUUGCAUUUCCCUACAAGGCUGAUUAAAUAAGAAAAUUGUUGGAGCUUAUUGCAAAUUUACUGGAACCUGAAGAAGAAACAAAUAAAACACAUCAAGCAGAGACUAUGGACACAUACCCCAGGCAAGAGUGGUGGUGAAAGUUCUCAGCAGCCUGAACCGCACAUGUGUGAACUGAUUGGAAGAGGUGCUGGCCUUUGCCUGCCCGGGCUUGGGGAGCAGAAACGGCUCUGCUUCCCAGGAAAUUCCAGUCUUUAAGGCUUCUUUUCACAGAAUUAGGCUUUUCCAUAGGAAAGUCUCUUGAAUUUGACCCCAUUUCUUCUUUUUCCCUUCUAUUGCUAUUACCUUCAAGUAAAACUUCCUCACUCGUAUCUUAUGUUGACUACCACUUGAAUAGUUUUAAAGCUGUUUGUUUUCUUUCUAAGGAUCUUUUCCUUUUCAUCCCAUUUUCUUACAGGCUGCUGGUGUUACAUUUCUAAAGCACAGGCCUCCCUCUUACGUUCCUCUGCCAGCCUUUCCAUUGCAUAUGAGACACAUCCCUAAGUUCACAUGGAGAUAACCAAGGCCCUUCGCCAACUGGACAGCACCCGGCGGCUCCUACCUGGCCACUGUGCUUAGCGGUCCUGGCUUUGCCACAGCCUCUGAACAUUCGCAGAGCUCUGCCCUCGCUCCACAGCGGUCUCCUGUCGAUGGUCCCAGUUUCACCACAGCCUCUCAACAUUUGCAGAGCUUUGCCCUCGCUCCACAGCCAUCUCCUGUGGGGUGUCCGAGCUUCGCCACAGCCUCUGAACAUUCGCAGAGCUCUGCCCUCACUCCACAGCCGUCUCCCGCCUCUGAACAUUUGCAGAGCUCUGCCCUCGCUCCAUAGCCGUCUCCUGUGGAUGGUCCCAGUUUCACCACAGCCUCUCAACAUUUGCAGAGCUUUGCCCUCGCUCCACAGCCAUCUCCUGUGGAUGGUCCCAGUUUCACCAGAGCCUCUCAACAUUUGCAGAGCUCUGCCCUCGCUCCACAGCCGUCUCCUGUGGGGUGUCCGAGCUUCGCCACAGCCUCUGAACAUUCGCAGAGCUCUGCCCUCACUCCACAGCCGUCUCCCGCCUCUGAACAUUCGCAGAGCUCUGCCCUCGCUCCCAACCAUCUCCUGCGUGUUGUCCUUUCAGGGUGCUGCACCCACAGACGCUUAAUCAUUCUUCAAGACACAGGUCCGAUGUUGAAGUUGUGUUUCCUAAGUUGCCUACACUGCUCUCUCUUCUUGGAGCGCUAUCACCUCCUCUGCUAAUAUUUCACUCCCUGGUUCAUAUUUUAUGCAGUUUUCACAACACUAUCACUUUCCAGUAGAUCGCGAGCCCUGGGGUGCAGAGGCUGUUGGGUCAUCCUCAUCUCCCUAGUGCUGAGCUUGGUUUCCGACUUGCUGUGGGCCCUCAGGAAUGUCUGUGGAAAUAAACUGACUUGAAUUAAUUAAAUAAAGCAAUUCAGCUUAUGAGAAGGCAGAGUGUUAAGAUGUGGGGUCACAGCACACGAAGGGCACGGCAGAGGCACAGCAACUCCCCUGGUGACCCAGUGAAGGUGAGGACCCCAGGAGGAACUGAAAUACCAGACCCAGUGCAGGCGAGGAGGCCGGGAGGAACUGAAACACCAGACCCAGUGCAGGCGAGGACCCCGGGAGGAAAUGAAACACCAGACCCAGUGCAGGCGAGGAGGCCGGGAGGAAAUGAAACACCAGACCCAGUGCAGGCGAGGAGGCCGGGAGGAACUGAAACACCAGACGCAGUGCAGGCGAGGAGGCAGGGAGGAAAUGAAACACCAGACCCAGUGCAGGCGAGGAGGCCGGGAGGAACUGAAACACCAGACCCAGUGCAGGCGAGGAGGCCGGGAGGAAAUGAAACACCAGACUCAGUGCAGGCGAGGACCCCGGGAGGAAAUGAAACACCAGACCCAGUGCAGGCGAGGAGGCCGGGAGGAACUGAAACACCAGACCCAGUGCAGGCGAGGAGGCCGGGAGGAAAUGAAACACCAGACCCAGUGCAGGCGAGGACCCCGGGAGGAGAUGAAACACCAGACCCAGUGCAGGCGAGGAGGCCGGGAGGAUCUGAAAGACCAGACCCAGUGCAGGCGAGGAGGCCGGGAGGAAAUGAAAGACCAGACCCAGUGCAGGCGAGGAGGCUGGGAGGAAAUGAAACACCAGCUUUGUGAAAUUUCUGGAUUUGGUGAGAAGCCUCUGGUGUCUGGUUAGUCUUUAAACAAGUGCUGACUUCGGCUUUGCCUGCAUUGGUCAGUUAGACUUUCUUGGUUAUGUGGCUUACAACCGGGAAGUGGCCUGGGGUUUCUUGAAGUCGACUCAUAUGUACAGCAAAUUCAAUAAUCCAUUUUCUGGAAUUAAAUGUCUGUCCAGUUUAGACUCAAUUUAAGGAAAGGAAUAGAUUUGGCAAUACACGUAGGUACGUUGAUCAUAUGCGAUGUGAACUUGGGGAUCAGCUUGCUGCUUAGAGAUUUCCUUAGUGAUUCCUCAUCGAUAAAAUGAACUGUUACAUUUAAGAUGCUGAUAGAAGUAAAUAUUUUUUUGAACAAGG